GCUUGUCUCAAAGAUUAAGCCAUGCAUGUCUAAGUGUAAAUAAGUCUAUACUGUGAAACUGCGAAUGGCUCAUUAAAUCAGUUAUCGUUUAUUUGAUGAUCUCUUACUACUUGGAUAACCGUAGUAAUUCUAGAGCUAAUACAUGCACAAAAUCCCGACUUACGAAGGGAUGUAUUUAUUAGAUUUAACCAAUAUAUGGUGAAUCAUAGUAACUGAUCGGAUCGUGCAAUUGCACGAUAAAUCAUUCAAGUUUCUGCCCUAUCAGCUUUCGAUGGUAGUGUAUUGGACUACCAUGGCAGUCACGGGUAACGGAGAAUUAGGGUUCGGUUCCGGAGAGGGAGCCUGAGAAACGGCUACCACAUCUAAGGAAGGCAGCAGG
Molecule: ribosomal RNA, 379 nt
Filed under: Frontonia leucas
Lineage: Eukaryota; Ciliophora; Oligohymenophorea; Peniculida; Frontoniidae
Description: partial small subunit ribosomal RNA
Rfam family: Eukaryotic small subunit ribosomal RNA
Source: RNAcentral